Molecule: ribosomal RNA, 253 nt
Filed under: uncultured bacterium
Lineage: Bacteria
Description: partial 16S ribosomal RNA
Rfam family: Bacterial small subunit ribosomal RNA
Source: RNAcentral
UACAGAGGUCCCAAGCGUUGUUCGGAUUCAUUGGGCGUAAAGGGUGUGUAGGUGGCGCUGUAAGUCGGGUGUGAAAUUUCGGAGCUUAACUCCGAAACUGCAUUCGAUACUGCGGUGCUUGAGGACUGGAGAGGAGACUGGAAUUUACGGUGUAGCAGUGAAAUGCGUAGAUAUCGUAAGGAAGACCAGUGGCGAAGGCGGGUCUCUGGACAGUUCCUGACACUGAGACACGAAGGCCAGGGGAGCAAACAGG